UAUAUAUAUAUAUACACAUUUUUAGUAUCAAAAAAAUGUUUACAGUUUUAUUGCAUAAUCAUAUUUUUUAUUAAUAUAAAUAGUGGUUAAAUUCUUUUGCAUUAAAAUAUAAAAUUUAUGCUCUUUUAUAAUUUUAUAUUUUAUAUUUUUCAAUAGAUAUCAAAACCAAAAAUUCCAUUAACAUAUAAAUUUAAAAAAUGAAGUUGGAUAAAAACAAUUACAAUAGCUACAUCACUGUUAUAAAGAGUAUAGAAAACACAAGAUAACUUCAUAAUGUAGGAAAUAGAUGGCCUUGAUUGAACUUUUAAAGAUGUGUUUGUUGUGAAUUAGGUCAUAAAUAGUAGAAAGAAAUCAAUAUGAUUUACAGUAUUUUGAGAUGUCUUUAGAUAUAUUUAUAUAUAUAUAGCGAGAGAGAGAGAGAGAGAGAGAGAUAGAAUGUAACAUUUGAUUAGCAAUAAGACUAAUAAUUGGAAUAAGCUAAUGUAAUGAAUGAGUUUCUUUAGAACUAGUACAAACUACAUUGAAGGGUCUCUUCUCAUCUGCUGUUUUUUAUAAUGGCACCUGGGUUUUAUUUAGAACAUGGUAUUAUUUCUCAAACAUGUGCAAAAUUAUAUUAAUUGCAAUUUCCACAAAAAAAAUUCUACAAUUUUUGAAUUCUAACCAGAUACAAACCUAAACCAACUAACAUAGCACAAUAUCUUAAUAUUCAUAAAUGGAGAACAAACAAUAGGUUAACUUACAUGUGCAUUUUGAUGAUGUCUUCUGCACAAUUUAAACUACAUAGAUAAGAUUUUCAUAUAUAUAUAUAUAUAUAUAUUAAUAACAUUCAAAUUAUUAACCGAAUACUUAAUAAAUAUCGGUAGUUUUACAUAAAAUAUUUGAUGAAAAAAACUGAAUAUGAUUUGAGACAUGUCUAUCUUGGCCUGAUGAGUUUUCAAAGCACCACAGUUAUGUCAAUAAAGUGAAUAAAUACUGAUGAUGACUUUUGAAUUCUUUUUGAUACGUUUUUUUUUAAAUGUUUAUUAUUGAAUCAGGUUUAUUAUAAGAUUCCUUCUGAAGUUUAUGUGAUAAACUUCUAAAAGCGUCUUCUGUAUAGCAAUGCUUUGUGAUUUCCUUGAGAGGUUAUAUCUCAGAUUAAAGCAGAUAACAAAAAAUAAAAAUAAAAAAUCUUCAAUACAGUUAUAAUUGAAGUGAUUGAUGUGUUUGAAGACAGUUUCUUUUUGUGGACUUCUUUUGGAUUGAUGACAGUAUACUUUCAUUUGCUUAAAAAUUAUUUCAACCUCAGAAAUACUUCAACUCUGAUGAUUUAAGUUUUCAUAAAAGUUCAAUUUUAAGGUGCUUUAUCCUUCAAAAACUUACACUAAAAAAUCGUAUGAACACUGAACAAACACCUUCUUUGAAUUAGGCCUUCAUUUUUUGAAUGGCAACAAAAAUUUCAUCAAGAUUUUUUAUUUUUCUUUUUUCAAAUUAGAACAAUGAACUUUUGGUUGAAGCAAUUAAAUAUAUCUUCAAAAUUUAAUCAGUAAGACCUCACCAACAACUUCAAUUAAAUAAAUAGAAUAGAACUGUGAUAAAAUAUUUAGUUUUUGACGUUUUUACAAGUGAAAUCCGAAGUAAAUUCUAUCAGAGAGUCAUUUUCUUUUCAAAUAACGUUUAUUUCAAGCUUUAAUUUUUUUAUAAUUUUUAAAUUCCUAAAAUUUUGACCGAAUACAAUUCCUAUUUUUCAAUUUAAAAUGAAAUCUGUCAUUACAUUACUGAUUUGAGUUUCUCAUUCAUGUACUCGAAUUUUUCAUUUCAUCAACUCCAGACAAUUUUGAAGUGUCUUUAUCAUUAAGGUCAUUUGCAUUAAAACUUAGAAUGUUAUUAGUUUUCAAGAAAAUCAUUAGGUAAUGAAGACAACUUAAUAAUAACAUGAUUGCAUUUUUAAAAUAAUGUUUUCAAAAAUUUUAUCAUUAAUAAAAUUUUGCAAGAUGGCUUUUGUACAAAAAUAAUUAUAAAAUAAUUUAGAAAAUAAUUCUUGUAUGUUUAUAAUAAUUUAAUUUAAUUUUUUUAUAUAUAUAAGUUUUUCAUUGAGCAUAGCCAAAAAUUCUCAAGUAAUCUUCAUUUGAAUUU
RNAcentral lists this long non-coding RNA (2112 nucleotides) under Physcomitrium patens. RNAcentral's name for it is "long non-coding RNA (PPAT_LNC008659)". Lineage: Eukaryota; Viridiplantae; Streptophyta; Bryopsida; Funariales; Funariaceae. The record is from RNAcentral.